UACGGAGGGUGCAAGCGUUAAUCGGAAUUACUGGGCGUAAAGCGCACGCAGGCGGCUGAGUCAGUCGAUUGUGAAAGCCCUGGGCUUAACCUGGGAAUUGCAGUCGAUACUACUCAGCUAGAGUAUGGGAGAGGGUAGUGGAAUCCCCGGUGUAGCGGUGAAAUGCGUAGAUAUCGGGAGGAACAUCAGUGGCGAAGGCGGCUACCUGGCCCAGUACUGACGCUCAGGUGCGAAAGCGUGGGGAGCAAACAGG
This 253-nucleotide ribosomal RNA is filed under the name uncultured bacterium. RNAcentral describes it as "partial 16S ribosomal RNA". It matches the Rfam family "Bacterial small subunit ribosomal RNA", at positions 524 to 776 of the family's 1533-position model. The record is from RNAcentral.